Xenopus tropicalis (tropical clawed frog) is the source of this 70-nucleotide small nucleolar RNA. Its record names the gene SNORD73. It matches the Rfam family "Small nucleolar RNA SNORD73". From Rfam's summary of the family: U73 is a member of the C/D class of snoRNA which contain the C (UGAUGA) and D (CUGA) box motifs. U73 is encoded within the introns of ribosomal protein S3a and contains a 12nt region of complementarity to a conserved sequence in 28S ribosomal RNA. The record is from Ensembl. NCBI's taxonomy places the organism in Eukaryota, Metazoa, Chordata, Amphibia, Anura, Pipidae.
AAUGAAUGAUGACAAAAUGUUUCGGUCCCAAAUGAUUUCUAUGAUUACUCUUUGAGAUCGUUCUGACAUU